RNAcentral lists this non-coding RNA (27 nucleotides) under Mus musculus (house mouse). Lineage: Eukaryota; Metazoa; Chordata; Mammalia; Rodentia; Muridae. The record is from RNAcentral.
GCUCCUUCUGUAUCUCCAUUAUCGGUC